RNAcentral lists this ribosomal RNA (503 nucleotides) under uncultured bacterium. RNAcentral describes it as "partial 16S ribosomal RNA". The record is from RNAcentral.
GUAGUUAGCCGGGGCUUUCUUACAGGGUACCGUCACUUCUUCGUCCCCUGCGACAGAGGUUUACAAUCCGAAAACCUUCUUCCCUCACGCGGCGUUGCUGGGUCAGGCUUGCGCCCAUUGCCCAAUAUUCCCCACUGCUGCCUCCCGUAGGAGUCUGGACCGUGUCUCAGUUCCAGUGUGGCCGAUCAGCCUCUCAGCUCGGCUACCCAUCGCGGACUAGGUGGGCCGUUACCCCGCCUACUAUCUAAUGGGACGCGAGCCCCUCCUUCUGCGGAUUGCUCCUUUGACCUCUCUGCCAUGCGACAGUGUGGUCUUAUGCGGUAUUAGCGACCGUUUCCGGUCGUUAUCCCCCUCUUAAAGGCAGAUUGCUCACGCGUUACUCACCCGUCCGCCACUAGGUUAAGAAUUCCUGUUCCGAAGAACCAUUCCAAAAUAACCCCGUUCGACCUUGCAUGUGUUAGGCACGCCGCCAGCGUUCAUCCUGAGCCAUGAUCAAACUCUGA